Molecule: long non-coding RNA, 165 nt
Organism: Physeter macrocephalus (sperm whale)
Lineage: Eukaryota; Metazoa; Chordata; Mammalia; Artiodactyla; Physeteridae
Exons: 3
Source: RefSeq, a predicted model, not a curated record
GACCGUAAGCCCUACAAAGCAGACACGGAAUUGUUCAACACUGUACAUUUGGAACCCAGAGAAGAAGCACACAGAGGCUGGUGCUCAUGCAGCUCUGACUAUUGAACUCAGAUGACCAGCUGAAGUUAUCUCCCUUGCCUGAGUUAGAGAACUCCCUAGCUCUCC